This is a non-coding RNA of Salmo salar (Atlantic salmon), 56 nucleotides long. The record is from Rfam. NCBI's taxonomy places the organism in Eukaryota, Metazoa, Chordata, Actinopteri, Salmoniformes, Salmonidae.
UGUGUUCACUACUGUAAGUCGCUCUGGAUAAGAGCGUCUGCUAAAAAUGACUAAAA